Molecule: ribosomal RNA, 789 nt
Filed under: uncultured bacterium
Lineage: Bacteria
Description: bacterial SSU rRNA
Rfam family: Bacterial small subunit ribosomal RNA
Source: RNAcentral
GAAACGACAUCGAAAGCUUGCUUUUGAUGGGCGUCGACCGGCGCACGGGUGAGUAACGCGUAUCCAACCUGCCCACCACUUGGGGAUAACCUUGCGAAAGUAAGACUAAUACCCAAUGACGUCUCUAGAAGACAUCUGAAGGAGAUUAAAGAUUUAUCGGUGAUGGAUGGGGAUGCGUCUGAUUAGCUUGUUGGCGGGGUAACGGCCCACCAAGGCUACGAUCAGUAGGGGUUCUGAGAGGAAGGUCCCCCACAUUGGAACUGAGACACGGUCCAAACUCCUACGGGAGGCAGCAGUGAGGAAUAUUGGUCAAUGGACGAGAGUCUGAACCAGCCAAGUAGCGUGCAGGAUGACGGCCCUAUGGGUUGUAAACUGCUUUUAUAAGGGAAUAAAGUGAGUCUCGUGAGACUUUUUGCAUGUACCUUAUGAAUAAGGACCGGCUAAUUCCGUGCCAGCAGCCGCGGUAAUACGGAAGGUCCGGGCGUUAUCCGGAUUUAUUGGGUUUAAAGGGAGCGUAGGCCGGAGAUUAAGCGUGUUGUGAAAUGUAGAUGCUCAACAUCUGCACUGCAGCGCGAACUGGUUUCCUUGAGUACGCACAAAGUGGGCGGAAUUCGUGGUGUAGCGGUGAAAUGCUUAGAUAUCACGAAGAACUCCGAUUGCGAAGGCAGCUCACUGGAGCGCAACUGACGCUGAAGCUCGAAAGUGCGGGUAUCGAACAGGAUUAGAUACCCUGGUAGUCCGCACGGGAAACGAUGGAUGCCCGCUGUUGGUCUGAAUAGGUCAGCGGCC